Non-coding RNA from Penaeus vannamei (Pacific white shrimp), 205 nucleotides. NCBI's taxonomy places the organism in Eukaryota, Metazoa, Arthropoda, Malacostraca, Decapoda, Penaeidae. The record is from RefSeq and is a predicted model, not a curated record.
AACGGGGUCUACUGCAUGACCAUCAAGGACGUCUGCAUGAACGACUACGGCCCUGUGGCGGUUGUGGCUAAGAGUUUGGUAGGCGAGUGUGCGUCUGCCGCCAAGUUCUCGCAGAAGAAAAUACCGUGCGAGGUGGUUGAGGGCCUCGAGAACGUCACCAAGGGCGCCGAAGGGGAUGACGUCACUCUCACCGUCAAGAUUAGGG